This 699-nucleotide long non-coding RNA is filed under the name Lynx canadensis (Canada lynx). Its description in RNAcentral is "lncRNA (ENSLCNG00005015508.1)". The record is from RNAcentral. Lineage: Eukaryota; Metazoa; Chordata; Mammalia; Carnivora; Felidae.
UGGUUUUCCGCACACCUUCAUGUGAAGUUUGCAGCCUUGAUGCAGCAUCAGGCCAAGGAUAAAGAACAGACGGCCAAAGCAACAAAAUUUUUAGCCUUGGACAAAUGCUUACCACAUAGAGACUUUCUUCAGGUAAUAGAAAUAGAACAUGACACCCAGUGCUUCUGAGUACUUAGAGUAUGAUAUUGAGUGGCUCACUGUUCUAAGGGCUACUGAUGAUCUUAUUAAUGUGACGGGGCGCCUAUGGAAUAUGCCCUGAAAAUAACGGCCUGCAUACAAGGUAAGGUCUGACAUUUAGGGGUUUGCUCUCUCUGGUGCAUGCACGAUUUUUUGUCCCCUCCACCUUUUUUUUUUUUUUCUUAAAUCAGGGAAUUAUUGUUAAUGAGUGUCAGAAUAAUUCAAGGGUUACUGACUGGUAUGGAAAACUACAAAUUUUCCAUCUAAGGGAUGUAAGAAAAUGGGCUAUUGAGUACCCAACCCAAAUUAGCACAUAAAGCGUGUGUAAAACUAUAAUGUGGUGAUGAUUUGGUUCACACAUUAAAGUAAAUAAUGCUUAUUUUAGAGUGUUGAGUUAAGAACAGCUUUUUUCUUUUUCUUUUUUUAAAAUUUUAUUUAUUUAUUUUGAGAGAGAGAGAGAGAGAGACCGCAAGUGAGAAUGGGGUAGGGGCAGAGAGAAGAAGAGUGAGAGAAUCCCAAGCU